Molecule: long non-coding RNA, 879 nt
Organism: Symphalangus syndactylus (siamang)
Lineage: Eukaryota; Metazoa; Chordata; Mammalia; Primates; Hylobatidae
Source: RefSeq, a predicted model, not a curated record
CACACACACACACACACGUAGUGAUGAAACUAUAUUUCCAUAUUAUAAAUACUAAUUUUAAUAUAUGAAUAUGUAUUAAAACCCCAUUUCAUUUACAUAUAAAUGGAUAUGUAUUUCCUUCUUUCGUUAUUUAUUAUUUUUUAUAUUUACUUUGGUUUAUUUUUUGUCUUUUCUUCAUUGGCCUGCCUGAUCUUCUCACUCUGGGCUCUGGUGACCUCAGCCUCCCCAGUAGCUAGGACUACGGGGAUCUCUUAAGCCCGGGAGGCAGAGGCUAACGUGGGCUGCGAUCGCGCACUUCCACUCCAGCUUACGUGAGGAUCACCCCAGCCUCCACGCUUUGGACCGACCGAGAAGAGGUCGUCCUGCCUCUGAUCCCUCCCAUCCCCAUUACCUGGGACUACAGGCACGCACCACCACACCGGUUGACUUUUAUGUUGUUUCUCAUGUUUUCCGUAGGUGUCUUCUCACAUGUCGACGUGAUCUCAAACUGUUAGGCCCCAGCGAUCCUCCCACGUCGGCCUCCCAGAGUGCUGUGACGACACCUGUGAGUCACGACGCAGUGUCACUCUUGUCGCCCAGGGUGGAGUCCGAUGGCGCGAUCUCGGCUCACCGCAACCUCCGCCUCCUAGGUUCGACUGAUUCUCCUGCCUCAGCCUUCCCGGGUGACGGGAAUGCGCCAUCAUGCCCGGCUAAUUUUCCUAUUUUCGGUACACGCGGGGUCUCUCCAUCUUGGUCAGUCUCGUCUUCAACUUCCGACCGUUGGAGAAUUUUAACUUUCUUGGUGGUUGCUUCUCUUUUUUUUUUUUUUUUCGUUUUUCUUUUCUUUCCUUCUCCUCCCCCACCCCCACCCCCCAUGUUCUCCUCCUCCUCCUCCUCCUC